RNAcentral lists this transfer RNA (70 nucleotides) under Serranus scriba (painted comber). RNAcentral describes it as "tRNA-His". It matches the Rfam family "tRNA". Rfam says of the family: Transfer RNA (tRNA) molecules are approximately 80 nucleotides in length. Their secondary structure includes four short double-helical elements and three loops (D, anti-codon, and T loops). The record is from RNAcentral. Lineage: Eukaryota; Metazoa; Chordata; Actinopteri; Perciformes; Serranidae.
GUAGACAUGGUUUAACCUAAAAUAUUAGAUUGUGAUUCUAAAGAUAGGGGUUGAAACCCCCUUGUUUACC